Molecule: ribosomal RNA, 443 nt
Filed under: uncultured soil bacterium
Lineage: Bacteria
Description: bacterial SSU rRNA
Rfam family: Bacterial small subunit ribosomal RNA
Source: RNAcentral
AGAACGAACGCUGGCGGCAUGCCUAAUACAUGCAAGUCGAACGAGAUCUUCGGAUCUAGUGGCGCACGGGUGCGUAACGCGUGGGAAUCUACCCUUGGGUUCGGAAUAACAGUUGGAAACGACUGCUAAUACCGGAUGAUGACGAAAGUCCAAAGAUUUAUCGCCCAAGGAUGAGCCCGCGUAGGAUUAGCUAGUUGGUGAGGUAAAGGCUCACCAAGGCUACGAUCCUUAGCUGGUCUGAGAGGAUGAUCAGCCACACUGGGACUGAGACACGGCCCAGACUCCUACGGGAGGCAGCAGUAGGGAAUAUUGGACAAUGGGGGCAACCUGAUCCAGCAAUGCCGCGUGAGUGAUGAAGCCUUAGGUUGUAAAGCUCUUUACCGAGAUGAUAAUGACAGUAGUCGGAGAAUAAGCUCCGGCUAACGUCCGUGCCAGCGAGCCGC